GGAAGUAAAAGUCGUAACAAGGUUUCCGUAGGUGAACCUGCGGAAGGAUCAUUAACGCGCAGGCCGGAGGCUGGCCCCCCACGAUAGGGCCAAACGUCCGUCAGGGGUGAGCAGAUGUGCGCCGGCCGUACCGCCCCAUUCUUGUCUACCUUACUCGGUUGCCUCGGCGGGCCGCGCUCUCCCAGGAGAGCCGUUCGGCGAGCCUCUCUUUAGUGGCUAAACGCUGGACCGCGCCCGCCGGAGGACAGACGCAAAAAAAUUCUUUCAGAAGAGCUGUCAGUCUGAGCGUUAGCAAGCAAAAAUCAGUUAAAACUUUCAACAACGGAUCUCUUGGUUCCGGCAUCGAUGAAGAACGCAGCGAAAUGCGAUAAGUAAUGUGAAUUGCAGAAUUCCGUGAAUCAUCGAAUCUUUGAACGCACAUUGCGCCCCCUGGCAUUCCGGGGGGCAUGCCUGUUCGAGCGUCAUUUCAGCCCCUCAAGCCCGGCUUGUGUGAUGGACGACCGUCCGGCGCCCCCGUCUUUGGGGGUGCGGGACGCGCCCGAAAAGCAGUGGCCAGGCCGCGAUUCCGGCUUCCUAGGCGAAUGGGCAACAAACCAGCGCCUCCAGGACCGGCCGCCCUGGCCUCAAAAUCUGUUUUAUACUUAUCAGGUUGACCUCGGAUCAGGUAGGGAUACCCGCUGAACUUAAGCAUAUCAAUAAGCGGAGGAAAAG
Molecule: unclassified non-coding RNA, 711 nt
Filed under: Trichophyton mentagrophytes
Lineage: Eukaryota; Fungi; Ascomycota; Eurotiomycetes; Onygenales; Arthrodermataceae
Description: sequence contains ITS1, 5.8S rRNA gene and ITS2
Rfam family: 5.8S ribosomal RNA (bases 311-464)
Source: RNAcentral